GACGAACGCUGGCGGCGUGCCUAAUACAUGCAAGUCGAGCGCUGAAACGUGGAACUUGUACCCACUGGGUGAGCGGCGGACGGGUGAGUAACGCGUGGAUAAUCUGCCUUUGAGCGGGGGACAACAUCGGGAAACGAAUGCUAAUACCGCAUAAUAACUUUAACCACAGGUUUCAAGUGUGAAAGAUGCAUUUGCUGCACCCAAAAAUGGGCCCCCGUUGAAUUAGUUAGUUGGUAAGGUAAAGGCCCACCAAGGGAAUCAUACGUAGCCGCCCGGGAAGGUGAAUCGCCACAAUGGGACCGGGACACCGGUCAAACCUCCUACGGGAGGAACCAGUGGGGAACCUCGGCCAAUGGGCGAAAGCCUGACGAAGAAAGCCCGCGUGGGGGAGGAAGGUCUCCGGUUGGAAAAACCCUUUUGUAGGGAAGAAAGAUGGGGAGAAUGAAAAGCGCAUGAAGUGACGGUACCUAACCAGAAAGCCACGGCUAACUACGUG
Molecule: ribosomal RNA, 496 nt
Filed under: uncultured bacterium
Lineage: Bacteria
Description: partial 16S ribosomal RNA
Rfam family: Bacterial small subunit ribosomal RNA
Source: RNAcentral